This 253-nucleotide ribosomal RNA is filed under the name uncultured bacterium. Its description in RNAcentral is "partial 16S ribosomal RNA". It matches the Rfam family "Bacterial small subunit ribosomal RNA", at positions 524 to 776 of the family's 1533-position model. The record is from RNAcentral.
UACGUAGGGACCAAGCGUUGUCCGGAAUCAUUGGGCGUAAAGAGCGUGUAGGCGGCUAGUUAAGUCUUGCGUGAAAUCUCGGGGCUCAACCUCGAGACGCCGAUUGAAACCACCAGGCUAGAGUCCGGAAGAGGAGAGUGGAAUUCCCGGUGUAGCGGUGAAAUUCGUAGAUAUUGGGAAGAACACCGGUGGCGAAGGCGGCGACCUGGUCCUUGACUGACGCUGAGGCGCGAAAGCGUGGGGAGCAAACAGG